GACGAACGCUUGCGGCGUGCCUAAGAAAUGCAAGUCGAGCGAGGUCUAGGCUUCGGCCGAAAACCUAGCGGCGAACGGUCGCGUAACACGUAAGCAACCUGCCCUGAAGUUUGGGAUAGCCCACCGAAAGGUGGAUUAAUACCGGAUGUGGACAAUAUAUCGCAUGUUCGUAUUGUCUAAAGCAGCAAUGCGCUUCAGGAUGGGCUUGCGGCCUAUCAGCUAGUUGGUGUGGGUAACGGCCUACCAAGGCGACGACGGGUAGCUGGUCUGAGAGGAUGGUCAGCCGGAUUGGGACUGAGACACGGCCCAGACUCCUACGGGGGGCAGCAAUUAGGAAUCUUGCGCAAUGGGCGAAAGCCUGACGCAGCGACGCCGCGUGACUGAUGAAGUCCUUCGGGAUGUAAAAGUCUUUUGUGGGGGAAGAAGGAUGUGACGGUACCCCACGAAUAAGCCCCGGCUAACUACGUGCCAGCAGCCGCGGUAAUACGUAGGGGGCGAGCGUUGUCCGAAUUUACUGGGCGUAAAGCGCGCGUAGGCGGGCUCUUAAGUUGGGGGUGAAAUCCCGAGGCUUAACCUCGGAACUGCCUUCAAAACUGGGGGCCUUGAGCUGUGGAGAGGGAAGUGGAAUUCCUGGUGUAGCGGUGAAAUGCGUAGAUAUCAGGAGGAACACCCGUGGCGAAGGCGGCUUCCUGGCCACACGCUGACGCUGAGGUGCGAAAGCUAGGGUAGCGAACGGGAUUAGAUACCCCGGUAGUCCUAGCCGUAAACGAUGGAUACUAGGUGUUAGAGGUAUCGACCCCUCUAGUGCCGAAGCUAACGCAUUAAGUAUCCCGCCUGGGGAGUACGGCCGCAAGGCUGAAACUCAAAGGAAUUGACGGGGGCCCGCACAAGCGGUGGAGCAUGUGGUUUAAUACGUCACUAACCGUAGAACCUUACCCAGGCUUGACAUCUGGGGAACCCCGGUGAAAGCCGGGGGUGCCGAGUAAUCGGAGCCCCAAGACAGGUGUUGCAUGGCUGUCGUCAGCUCGUGUCGUGAGAUGUUGGGUUAAGUCCCGCAACGAGCGCAACCCUCAUCCGAUGUUGCCAGCGUUAAGUCGGGAACUCUUCGGAAACUGCCCGUGCAAGCGGGAGGAAGGUGGGGACGACGUCAAGUCAGCAUGGCCCUUACGCCUGGGGCUACACACAUGCUACAAUGGGUGUUAAACAAAGGGCAGCAAUACCGCGAGGUGGAGCUAAUCUCAAAAACACACCCUCAGUUCGGAUUGCAGUCUGCAACUCGACUGCAUGAAGUCGGAAUCGCUAGUAACCGCAGGUCAGCUAAACUGCGGUGAAUACGUUCCCGGGCCUUGUACACACCGCCCGUCACGCCACCUGAGUUGUCUGUACCCGAAGUCGAUGGCCCAACCCGCAAGGGAGGGAGUCGCCGAAGGUGUGGGGAGCGAGGGGGACG
RNAcentral lists this ribosomal RNA (1450 nucleotides) under uncultured bacterium. Its description in RNAcentral is "bacterial SSU rRNA". It matches the Rfam family "Bacterial small subunit ribosomal RNA". The record is from RNAcentral.